GAGAAACCUUGCAUAGCGGGCGGCCGCCAA
Molecule: small RNA, 30 nt
Filed under: Bombyx mori (domestic silkworm)
Lineage: Eukaryota; Metazoa; Arthropoda; Insecta; Lepidoptera; Bombycidae
Description: ovarian small RNA-15662
Source: RNAcentral